RNAcentral lists this transfer RNA (69 nucleotides) under Urocitellus parryii (Arctic ground squirrel). RNAcentral describes it as "Spermophilus parryii (Arctic ground squirrel) tRNA". It matches the Rfam family "tRNA". From Rfam's summary of the family: Transfer RNA (tRNA) molecules are approximately 80 nucleotides in length. Their secondary structure includes four short double-helical elements and three loops (D, anti-codon, and T loops). Further hydrogen bonds mediate the characteristic L-shaped molecular structure. tRNAs have two regions of fundamental functional importance: the anti-codon, which is responsible for specific mRNA codon recognition, and the 3' end, to which the tRNAs corresponding amino acid is attached (by aminoacyl-tRNA synthetases). tRNAs cope with the degeneracy of the genetic code in two manners: having more than one tRNA (with a specific anti-codon) for a particular amino acid; and 'wobble' base-pairing, i.e. permitting non-standard base-pairing at the 3rd anti-codon position. Lineage: Eukaryota; Metazoa; Chordata; Mammalia; Rodentia; Sciuridae. RNAcentral also lists the same sequence under 1 other name. The record is from Rfam by way of RNAcentral.
GGGGUUGUGGCUCAGUGGCAGAGCACUUGCCUCACACGUGUGAGACACUGGGUUCGAUUCUCAGCACCA